UNGGAGAGGAAAGUGGAAUUCCUAGUGUAGCGGUGAAAUGCGUAGAUAUUAGGAAGAACACCAGUGGCGANGGCGACUUUCUGGACGAAAACUGACGCUGAGGCGCGAAAGCCAGGGGAGCGAACGGGAUUAGAUACCCCGGUAGUCCUGGCCGUAAACGAUGGGUACUAGGUGUAGGAGGUAUCGACCCCUUCUGUGCCGGAGUUAACGCAAUAAGUACCCCGCCUGGGGAGUACGACCGCAAGGUUGAAACUCAAAGGAAUUGACGGGGGCCCGCACAAGCGGUGGAGUAUGUGGUUUAAUUCGACGCAACGCGAAGAACCUUACCAGGUCUUGACAUUGAUGGACAGAACCAGAGAUGGUUCCUCUUCUUCGGAAGCCAGAAAACAGGUGGUGCACGGUUGUCGUCAGCUCGUGUCGUGAGAUGUUGGGUUANNNNNNNNNNACGAGCGCAACCCCUAUCUUAUGUUGCCAGCACUUUGGGUGGGGACUCAUGAGAGACUGCCGCAGACAAUGCGGAGGAAGGCGGGGAUGACGUCAAAUCAUCAUGCCCCUUAUGACCUGGGCUACACACGUACUACAAUGGGAGUUAAUAGACGGAAGCGAGAUCGCGAGAUGGAGCAAACCCGAGAAACACUCUCUCAGUUCGGAUCGUAGGCUGCAACU
This 666-nucleotide ribosomal RNA is filed under the name uncultured bacterium. RNAcentral describes it as "bacterial SSU rRNA". It matches the Rfam family "Bacterial small subunit ribosomal RNA", at positions 649 to 1312 of the family's 1533-position model. The record is from RNAcentral.